UAUUUCUGUUCCCCAUUCAUGCAGAGGACUGUGAUCUAGGACAGUGAUCUGUUUAAGUGUGUGUGUAGCACGUGUGUCCAUGCACAAGUAUGAAGUCCAGAGGACAUUCACUGUCAUUCCUCGAUUCCUCAUCUUGCUUUCUGUGACUGGGUCUCUCAUUGCACUGGAGACUGCCAAGCAGGGUGCUGGGAUAACAAGCAAGUUCCAGGACAUCUGGUUCAUCCCAUACUGAGGACAGAACCAGAUCUUCAUGCAUGCUAGGCAAGUUCUUUGCCAGCUGAGUCCUGGCUCCAGAAAUUUUCUUAUCAUUAUUCCCUAAACAAUGACUAUUCAAACAACAUUUACACUGUCUCGGGUAUUAUAAGGCAUGAUUUAUUCAUCUGCAUUUAUUUACUUCUGGUGCUGGGAAUGAAACCCAGAGUCUUACAUAUGGCAGGCAGGAUUGAAGAGAUGACCCAUCAGUUAAGAGCACCAACUUU
Myodes glareolus (Bank vole) is the source of this 479-nucleotide non-coding RNA. Lineage: Eukaryota; Metazoa; Chordata; Mammalia; Rodentia; Cricetidae. The record is from RefSeq and is a predicted model, not a curated record.